ACGGGUGGGUAACACGUAGGUAACCUGCCUAUGAGACUGGGAUAACUAUCGGAAACGAUAGCUAAGACCGGAUAACUGGUUUUCUCGCAUGAGAGAAUCAUGAAACACGGAGCAAUCUGUGGCUUAUAGAUGGGCCUGCGGCGCAUUAGCUAGUUGGUAGGGUAAUGGCCUACCAAGGCGACGAUGCGUAGCCGACCUGAGAGGGUGACCGGCCACACUGGGACUGAGACACGGCCCAGACUCCUACGGGAGGCAGCAGUAGGGAAUCUUCCGCAAUGGACGCAAGUCUGACGGAGCAACGCCGCGUGAGUGAUGAAGGUUUUCGGAUCGUAAAGCUCUGUUGCCCUAGACGAACAGCAAGGAGAGUAACUGCUCUUUGUGUGACGGUAUAGGAGAAGAAAGCCCCGGCUAACUACGUGCCAGCAGCCGCGGUAAUACGUAGGGGGCAAGCGUUGUCCGGAAUUAUUGGGCGUAAAGCGCGCGCAGGCGGUCAAUUAAGUUGGGUGUUUAAGCCCGGGGCUCAACCCCGGUUCGCAUCCAAAACUGGUUGACUUGAGUGUAGGAGAGGAAAGUGGAAUUCCACGUGUA
Molecule: ribosomal RNA, 588 nt
Filed under: uncultured bacterium
Lineage: Bacteria
Description: bacterial SSU rRNA
Rfam family: Bacterial small subunit ribosomal RNA
Source: RNAcentral